RNAcentral lists this ribosomal RNA (659 nucleotides) under uncultured low G+C Gram-positive bacterium. Its description in RNAcentral is "bacterial SSU rRNA". It matches the Rfam family "Bacterial small subunit ribosomal RNA", at positions 8 to 692 of the family's 1533-position model. Lineage: Bacteria; Bacillati; Bacillota. The record is from RNAcentral.
AGAGUUUGAUCAUGGCUCAGAACGAACGCUGGUGGCGUGCCUUAAGCAUGCAAGUUGAACGAAAGCUGAUCCUUCGGGAUCAAAUUUAGUAGCGAACGGGUGAGUAACACGUAGUUAGUUGCCUCAAAGUCAGAGAUAGCCAUGGGAAACCAUGGGUAAUACCUGAUGUGCUCUACGGAGUAAAGCAGCAAUGCGCUUUGAGAGAUGACUGCGGCCCAUCAGAUAGUUGGCAGGGUAAUGGCCUACCAAGUCUAUGACGGGUAACCGGCCUGAGAGGGUGAACGGUCACAUUGGAACUGAGACACGGUCCAGACUCCUACGGGAGGCAGCAGCUAGGAAUAUUCCGCAAUGGACGAAAGUCUGACGGAGCGACGCCAUGUGAGGGAUGAAGGCUUUUCGGAGUUGUAAACCUCUUUUCUGUAAGAAGAGUAAGGACGGUAUUACAGGAAUAAGUCCCGGCUAACUACGUGCCAGCAGCCGCGGUAAUACGUAGGGGGCGAGCGUUGUUCGGAAUCACUGGGCAUAAAGGGUGCGUAGGCGGAACAUCAAGCUAGAGGUGAAAUCUUGUGGCCUAACCACAAAAAUUGCCUUUAGAACUGUUGUUCUGGAAUACAGGAAGGGGUGAGCAGAAUUCCCGGGUGUAGGGGGUGAAAUCUAUA